Molecule: non-coding RNA, 45 nt
Organism: Schistosoma rodhaini
Lineage: Eukaryota; Metazoa; Platyhelminthes; Trematoda; Strigeidida; Schistosomatidae
Source: Rfam
AUCCAGCUGAGUCCCAAAUAGGACGAAACACGCGUCAAACUGGAU